GGGGCGGGCGAGGCGGCGCGCAGGCUGGCGUAGCUACGGUGGUCGGCGGGCGAGCGGCCGGCGGUGGGCGACGAGGCGGCGCUGCUGCGGCCGCUCAGGCUCGGCCCGUCGGGCGAGCAGCCGGCGCCCCCUUCCUCGUACAGGCCCAGGGGGUCGCUGGGGUCGGCGCCAGCGCCCACGCCGCCGACCGGCGAGGACGACGCGCCCAGGCCGCCGAACAGGUAGACGCGCUUUACCUUCUUCUCGGUCAGGUGUUUACCCGGGGCCCCGAGGCUGGUUGAGGCCGAGGCCGCCGCCGAGGCCGAGGCCGAGGCGCCGGGAGUCCGCGCCUUGUACAGCGAGUGGUGGUCGGCGGCCGCGGCGGCGCCCAGGGGCAGCAGGGCGGCGGCCCCCGCCUGCUCCGCCGCUAAGGAGGCGGAGGAGGCGGCCGCCGUUUUCCCGCCGCCGCCGCCCGCCAGGAUAAGCUUGGCGUGGGGCUUGCCGACCCCGCCGCCCGCGCCGCCCGCCACUUUGGAGCCGCAGCUCUUUUUCUGCGCGGGUUUGGAGUUGGCGCCGCCGCCGCCGCUCGCGCCGCCGCCUCCUCCCCCCGCGUUGCUGCUCCCGCCGCCGCCCCCGUGGCCGCCCCCGCCGCUGCCACCGACCUUGUCACCCUUCUCCCCCGGCUUCGAGGAGGCGGCGGUGGAGGAGCUGGAGUUGGCGUUGCCGGACUUCACCUUCUUCCUGGGCCGGUACUUGUAGUCGGGGUAGUCAGCCAUGUGCUUGAGGCGCAGCCGCUCCGCCUCCCGAAUGAAAGGGAUCUUGUCGCUGUCUUUGAGCAGCUUCCAGCGUUUGCCCAGCCGCUUGGAGAUCUCGGCGUUGUGCAUGUCGGGCGACUGUUCCAUGAUCUUGCGCCGCUCGAUCUGCGACCACACCAUGAAGGCGUUCAUGGGCCGCUUGAUGUGCCCACUUGGCGUCUUGCACCAGCUCGGGUCGUCGGCCUUGCCGCCCGUGGAGGCUGUGGAGCCGGGCGUGGGGGAGGAGGCGAUGCCCAGCUCCAGGCCGGCGCCCGAGUCCGAGCUCUCGCCGGCCAGCAGCGCUUCCGUGUUCUCGGCGUUGUUGGUUUGCUGCACCAUGGCCCCGGCUCCGCGGGCGCCCACGCGCGCUCACACCCUCGCGGCGGCCGCGGCGCGAUCGCCGGGCCCUCCCGGCUCCCGGAGCCAAGCGCACGCCGAGCGGGAGGACGCGUGCGGCUGCGGAGCUGGCCGCUCAACUCCCGGCCGGGGCGGAGGUGGGCGAAGAGCGAAAAGUCACCAAAGGAUGCGGGGUAGGAGUACUCCGCCUCUUGCAGAGGAGUUAUAGUUCCCAGGCUGGAGCGUCUCCCUCCCUCCCUCCCUCUCUCGCUCUUGCUCUUCUCUUUCUCACCGCGCCGCAGUUUGCUCUAUCUCGGCUCGGAGUCCUGGAGACCGUGCUAAAGUGAAGAGGAGUUUCUCGAAUGCUGGUUGCUGAAGCUUCCAGUGCAAGUUUCUCGCCGCCUCCCAGGCAAGUCUGGAUUUUUUUUUUUUUUUUUUUUCUUCCCCUGAAGCAGUUGAUUCCAGUUCACGAGCGCUCUCGGGAGCUCAGGAAAGCGACAUAGUCUCUAUCAUUUAGUCCCUCUCCUGCAAUGCAAAGCAGAAAAGACUCUGGCUCCAGGACUCUCUGUGGGCGGAAUCGGCACUAAGGAGUUUGUGCAAUUAUUUUGUUGCAAGGUAGGAAGCCAAAAAGCCUUCAUGCAACAGACUGGCAUGAAUAAAUGUAUGUUUCCCCCUCCCUUCUGCAAGAAGGGAGCUGGUAAUGGCACAGUUCCUCCGAUGCAGACUCUUAAAGAGCGUGCAAGAACUAGAGACCCGGGAGCGAAACAGGCCUCUCCCCCUCACACACUGUUUCUCUUGCUGCAGCUUAGAGCAGACCCCAAUUCCGCCUCGCGCCUCUUUAUCCUUUCCCAGUCCUGGCCGCAGCCAAUCAGCCGCUGUAACCAACGCUUCCUCGUGCCAAGCCCCUCCCCCGGGCUUCCUAUUGGCUUGGAACCCGAUGCAAUAAUAAUCUCCGCGUGCAAUGAGAAGCUCCAAAUCUGACCUCAUUCCAAUUUACAGAGCAAACUUUUUAAAAGGGCUAGAAGUACAGCUGAGAUUUCUGCUGCCUCUUUUUUCCUUUUGCUGUGCCUGCGUGUGUGCGUUUGUGUGUGUGUCUGUGUAUGUGUGUGUGUGCAGCAUGUGGUGUUUGAAGAGGAUGUUAAUGCAUGAAAUUAUUAAGGGGAGAGACGGAAAUGUAUUCUAACCAUUAUGUUAGAUAACAAGGGGCUUAGAAGGGGGGAGGGUGAAAUACUGUAAAUGGAAGCUUUCUGCUUAAAAGCCAAGUGAUUAUUUUUAUUAGUUCUUUUCAGUAUUGGAAUAAAGAAUCAGCCUCUGGUGCAAAAUCUGUUCCUCGGCUCCUUCAUAAAGCCAAGGAUGUAGAAGGGGGAGGAAAACCACGACAAUAAAUCAAUGGAUAUUGAAAACCAUUAAGAAAGUGGUACCUGGACACCUGUCAUCACAGUUAUUUUAACAACUCGAGCUGCUUCAAUCAAAUGGAACUGAAAGACCCAGACAAAGAGAAACUAGAAGGCAGUGGUAGCUGGUUGCAGAAGAAAAUGGAACCUCUGGAUUUACAUUAGAUUUGGUGAUUUAUAUUAGAUCUGGUCGCUAGUCCUUUUUACUGGUCUUGUAACCCUGGGGAUGUGACAAGUAUCAGUUUUCCUCAUCUGUGAUGUGGGAACAGUAGGAACUACUUUAUGUAGGGUGUUUGUGAAGGUUGAAUGAGCUUGAUGUACAGUAAGCCCUCAGUGAAUGCUGUUGUCCUUCCCUGGCUAAUUCACAUUGUGAAGACACUCCCUUUAGUAGAAGCAUGUUGUUCAAGAGACUAAAAUUGAGGAUGGCCACUGAUGUGAAAAAAUAAUCACAGAUCAUAAACAUGAACUAUCCAAGGACCACAUCAGCAAUCCUAUUGUCCUAAUGAUUUGAAAAGAAACUUCAUGAAGAGCCUUGUGAAGAACGCAGCAAAGAAAAUGUGCUUUCGUAGUCAGAAUACAUGCUAAUUUAGCCAUGAAAAUUACCUUUGGUCUAAGGUAUGAAAAUUAAAAUUCUACUAAAAAUUGGUCUUCCUUAACACCUUAAUAGUAAACUGUUUUUCUAUCAGCCAAUGCUAAGUGGUUAGGUAGGGCUAACCUAACAUAAUUUAAGUCAGCUUUCUAUUCAGAUCAAACUAGUGCGAGGCAGUAGAUUUCUAUUUAUCUUGUCAAACUUUUAAAGUAUGUAGGCUGGCGAGAGGCCCAGGUUGUCAGAUGUAGAAUUUUACUGGAAAGAACACCCUUUGGAGACAUCUGACUGGACCUCUAAGGAUUAACCACAUGCAAGAAUGUUUUUGUGGGUAAAAGCAAAUAAUUUUUGACCAGUAGUUACCCAAGUUAUAUGCUUUUUCUUUUAGAAGGAGAAACAAAUCUUAAAAACAAACAAACAAAUUAAAAACCCGCAGGCACUUCUUUUGCAUAUAACAAAAUUGGGUGUGUUAUCAUGCUUUUCAUUUUCUUUGGUAUGCAUACCACAACACACCCGUACAUGUUAUCAGUCUGACAUAAAAAUUACUCUAAGAGGUCUAUUAUUUAUAAAAUCAAUAUUUCCACAAGAAUAAAAAAAAAGAAUAAACACCAUGUUUAUUUGGGGACUUGUACCAACUAAGGAUUUGAGGGUGUAGCUAGUUUGUGAUAAUUCAGUCAAGGUGAGUAUCAAUAUAAUUGAUUAUAUUUCCCAAGCUGUUUAUGUUUCUAGCAGUGAAUAUUAUCAGGGAAAAGUGAAGUUAAAGCAGAGUAGUUUUGUUUAUGUUUAAAGCACACAGAUCUUUUU
Molecule: long non-coding RNA, 3893 nt
Filed under: Sus scrofa (pig)
Lineage: Eukaryota; Metazoa; Chordata; Mammalia; Artiodactyla; Suidae
Description: lncRNA (ENSSSCG00035010679.1)
Source: RNAcentral